AGCGAACGCUGGCGGCGUGCCUAACACAUGCCAGUCGAACGUGAAAAGGGAAACCUGAGUACAGUGGCGUACGGGUGAGUAACGCGUAGGUAAUCUACCCCAGAAUCUGGAAUAACCUGCCGAAAGGCGGGCUAAUACUGGAUAGGGCGAGGGAACUCGUAAGAGAGUUUUUCGGGAAAGGGAGCCCGCAAGGGCCUUCGUUCUGGGAUGAGCCUGCGUCUCAUUAGCUAGUUGGUAAGGUAACGGCUUACCAAGGCGAUGAUGAGUAGCUGGUCUGAGAGGAUGAUCAGCCACACUGGAACUGAAACACGGUCCAGACUCCUACGGGAGGCAGCAGUGGGGAAUCUUGCGCAAUGGACGAAAGUCUGACGCAGCCACGCCGCGUGAGUGAAGAAGGCCUUCGGGUUGUAAAGCUCUGUCGGAUGGGACGAACAUCUUCAUAGUGAAUAGCUAUGAGGACUGACGGUACCAUCAAAGGAAGCACCGGCUAACUCCGUG
RNAcentral lists this ribosomal RNA (498 nucleotides) under uncultured bacterium. RNAcentral's name for it is "partial 16S ribosomal RNA". It matches the Rfam family "Bacterial small subunit ribosomal RNA", at positions 29 to 507 of the family's 1533-position model. The record is from RNAcentral.